GAUGAACGCUGGCGGCGUGCCUAAUACAUGCAAGUCGAGCGAAGCGGGGACGGGUGAGGAACCCGUGGAUAACCUCCUAUAAGACUGGGAUUACUUCGGGAAACCGGAGCUAAACCGGAUCCUUAUAGAUGGAUCCGCUGGGUAUUAGCUAGGGGGUAAGGUAACGGCUUACCAAGUCAACGAUGCAUAGCCGACCUGAGAGGAUGAUCAGCCACACUGGAACUGAGACACGGUCCAGACUCCUACGGGAGGCAGCAGUGGGGAAGCUUCCGCAAUGGGCGAAAGCCUGACGGAGCAACGCCGCGGGAAUGAUGAAGGUCUUCGGGUCGUAAAGCUCUGUUAGUGGGGAGGCGGUACCUACUCAAGAAGCCACGGCUAACUACGUGCCAGCAGCCGCGGUAAUUC
Molecule: ribosomal RNA, 405 nt
Filed under: uncultured bacterium
Lineage: Bacteria
Description: partial 16S ribosomal RNA
Rfam family: Bacterial small subunit ribosomal RNA
Source: RNAcentral